AUCCAUUCGGACUCAACCCUUACCAAAAUCUCUCUCUCUCUCUCUCUCCCUCCCUCCCUCCCUCCCCCAUGGUGUCCAGUACGUCUGGUCCCCUACGACGUCGUUUCUGCGUUCUUCGCCGGAGCGGGAGCUUUGAAUCGGCUCUGUGGAUUUGGAGAGAUUUGGUUGCGGCGACGCGUAUUUCCGGGAGUUGCUUCGGGAGUUCCUCAGGUUUGGUUUCGUUUUUGAGCUUUUCAUUUUUGAGCUCAAAUUUUCUCUCUCUUCCAAUCAGAAAGCUUGAAUCGAUUUUGAUCGGAGCUUCUCUCUCCAUUUUGAUUACGAUCCGGAUCUUGUCGGACUUGAGCCACUCACCGCAAUUAUACCCGCCGGAUGUCGACCACGGCGGGAUUUUGUACACUGCGACCUCGCGCACCACUAGCAGCUUAAGAAUCCUCGUCGUCGCAGCCGCCGCGAUCCAUCUCCUUCGUCACUAUAAGCUCGAUCUCCCCUCCGAUCUCCUCUCCUCCAAACCCUCCGAUUAGUGCUGGACCUCCAAAGUGUUAGAAGGGACUUUGCAGCUGAGCAUUAUCAGUAAUCUGGGAGUGCUUCUUGUCCUUUCUUCAAGCUCGGAGAAAUCGUCACCACCAUCCCUACCAUCAGAACAUCAGCUUCACUUUGUGGGAUGUAGGGGGUUAGGACAAGAUCCGUCCAUUGUGGAGGCACUACUUCCAGAACACUCAAGGUCUUAUUUUUGUGGUUGAUCGCAAUGACAGGGAUCGAGUUGUUGAGGCAAGGGAUGAGUUGCACAUGAUGUUGAAUUAGGGAACUGCUGUGGAGUUUCUCUCUCAACUAUCUCAAGAUAGCGCAGAGGAAGAACUCUUGGUGUUAACAGUGUUGAAUAGUAUUAGAUACUAGGCAUCAGGUCUAGUAAGGGUGGUUGUUCUAUACAUUUUAUAUUUCAUAUUUAUAGAUGAAAUUCUAUCAGCCAUAACCAUUUGUACCGAGGGAGGUGACAUUUAGAGCCCCUUGCACAUUAUCAUUUUAGGCUUGUAAUUUGUAUCAAAUAACAAAUUACUGGUGUUUUCUUAUUUUAUCCAAAAAAAAAAAAAUGGUCUUGAUGCUCA
This is a long non-coding RNA of Rosa chinensis, 1103 nucleotides long. RefSeq lists it as uncharacterized. Lineage: Eukaryota; Viridiplantae; Streptophyta; Magnoliopsida; Rosales; Rosaceae. The transcript has 5 exons. The record is from RefSeq and is a predicted model, not a curated record.